GAUUACAAAGUCAUUGCUGAAUAAAAAACAAAACAUAUUUAAUUAAAUUUAUUUUUAGAAUUUAAAGUAAAUUAAAUGAUAAAAACAAGCACCAACCCUGUUAACUACUUUUACAUACGCAGGAAUAACCUAUACGUAAAAUGAAAAUUCCGCUCUUGGUCACAUUCAAAAUAAUUUACAAUCGCAAACACCUUUUUUGCUAUUUCGCUUUGAAAAGUAUAUUAUUCUUGUUUGUCCGAAACUUAAAAGCUCUCUCAGUAAACAUCUUUUAAAGCACAGUCCAUCUCAUUUAAGUACUUAAACGCUUGUUUAGCAGAUGCAAAAAAUUUGAUAUUAUUGUUGACAUUACUUUAAAAUUUUGAACAUUUUAACACCGGCGCACGUAAAAAUAAAAAAAAGUAUCUAAAAAGGUAUAUGAAAAUAAAAUGGGUAUGCCUUAUGCAGAUUACAGAACGGAAUUAUCUGCUGAAAUAGGAAAAUAAAAUAAAAUUAUAUUAUAAAAAUUUUGACGUCAUAUAAUAAAGAGUGCCCAAAUGUGUUAAAAAUUAAGCAGAAUUGAAUAAUUGUUAAGGACGGUGCUUUAACCAACUUUUGAACCAAAAUUUGGUAAACAAUUCAAAAUUUAAUUGUGAAAUUUAAAAUAAUUUGUGCGAAAAAAAAUUUCAGUGCUUUGUGCAUACAUAUUUAAAAGAACAACGUCAUAGUUGAAAUUAAAAAGAAAAUUCGUACAUAUAAAUUGAAACGUGGCAUAAAAAACCCUCUCACACAUUCAGUAAUAUAAAGGAAAUACUGAAUUGGAAUAUUCUCAACUAAAUACAGUACCAGAAAUGAUAACACAAACAUCACAAACAUCACAAGGAAUUAUAGUUAACAAUGUUCCACAUAUGGGGCACACUAGAACUCCAAGUCAAGCAUCAACAUAUUCCCAAACAUCAACAUAUUCCGUUCCUCCACAAAAUAUUAAUGUUGGACAAGCUGUUGGUAUGAAUUAUAGUUAUAUGGAACCCAGAUAUAAUCAAUUUAGUGGACCUGCAACGCAUGCAAUAUCACCACAAAGUCAUGUGUAUACACCACUUAACAAUGUACAUGUACCACAAACUAACUAUAUUUCUCAUUCUGUUAUGCCACCACAAAAUCAUACCACAGUAUCUGGAUCUGCAGUUUAUGUUUUUCGUGAACAACCAAAUCAAUCAUAUGUAACAUACACUCAACCAGGACAAUAUCCAACACUUCCAAGAAAUUUUUCAUGGUCACAAGGCCAACCAAAUGAAAUGAUAUCUACUGAAAUUGAAAAUAGAUCAGUUCAAAUUGAAAAUAAUUCCACUAAUAAUUUACUUCAACACCCACAACAAGAGCAACAACAAGAAGUGUCUCAAGUUGAUGAGACUAAAGACGGAAAUAAUCAAAAUAUAAAGCCUCCACAAGUUAAAUUUGGCCCGAGACCUGUAAAGAUGGUAUGUUCGAACUGCGGGAAUCACGGAUUUACUAAAAUUGUAUAUGGAAUUAAUACCUAUACACACAUAAUGGCUUUUAUUUUAUUCUUACUAGGAUGCCUUUGUUGUAGUAUGGCACCAUAUUAUUUAAGGUCAUGUAAGGAUGCCAACCAUUAUUGCAAAAGUUGUAACUUUUUUCUUGGAACUUAUAAUAACUUAACAAAUACUCGCUGAUAGCAUUUUUUAAAGCUCUUAGUUAAAAUUUCAAAACUAUAUAACGCACAUAUUUUGAGUAGCAAGUCAUAAUGUUAGAAACAUCCUUCAGUUAAAAAUUUGUAUGAAAGAGUAUGAAGAAGUUUGAUAUGACAAAUACAGGAUGUAAGAUUGUAAUUAAAGAAAAUAAAUUUUUUGAUAUAAAAAUUAAAACUAAAAAUAUUUUAUUUUAAACAAAAAUUUUAAACAUCUGUUGCACUCCAAUUGUCAACGCCCAAAAUGCGGACAGACCAAUUUUAACUAAUGACGAAAUAACAAGAAAUUUUACAUAUAAUUAGGUAUGUACAAAAAACAAGUUUGUAAAAUUCAAGUUUUUGAUGAUUGACUAAAAAUGAACCUAAUUCAAUUGUUCUCCACGAAUGGAGCUAUGUCCGAACUGUAAUGAAAUUACAAAAACUGUAGUCCGUUUAGAAAAUAAUUUUCAUACUCACGCUGGCGCAUUAAUUAUGUAUUUACUUGG
This is an RNA transcript of Condylostylus longicornis, 2166 nucleotides long. RefSeq lists it as uncharacterized. The record is from RefSeq and is a predicted model, not a curated record. Lineage: Eukaryota; Metazoa; Arthropoda; Insecta; Diptera; Dolichopodidae. The transcript is spliced from 5 exons.